AGCAGAUCUGUGAUGAAGAUCUCACAUCUGAACGUGUCCAGGAGGUAGUCCACUCUGUAGACCGGUCCUGCGUGAUGUGUUGGCGGUGGAGGGUUCGGCGUGCUGCUCGGAGGCACUACGGCAGCAUGUUUCUGUCUUCAUCAGGUCCGUUGAUGACAUCGGGAGAGUUACAAACAGGGAUCCACCGGAGUUCUGGCUUGCUUUGGUUUUCAGAGCCGUGUUCUCUUUCCACAUGUGAUCACGUGAUUGUUCCUGUCGCCGCUGAUGUCACCUCAGCCAGCGGGCUGCGUGGGCACCAGGUUUUGGAAGAUAAGAAGAAUGUGCUGAAUAAAAAAGAAUGUCA
This is a long non-coding RNA of Gasterosteus aculeatus aculeatus (three-spined stickleback), 343 nucleotides long. The record is from Ensembl. NCBI's taxonomy places the organism in Eukaryota, Metazoa, Chordata, Actinopteri, Perciformes, Gasterosteidae.